ACUUCUUCACUGCUCUUUCGGGAGGCAGAUCGUGCUGAAAUGACUGUGGUAAAACCCAUAGUGGCCGACGUGCUCUCGUUCCACAUAAAGAAGUCCAUGACUCUGAGAGGACACAAUUAGAAGUUGAGUAUUCGAAGCUUUCUGGAUCAGCUGCCAUUUAUCUGUACAUUUCACUGGCCUAACUGAGAGGAGAAUAAGGAGUAUCCACGUCAGAGGGAGCCUGGCAAGUUCUGCUUACCAUCUCAUACUACAGAUUAUUGCUGCCUGGGAGCUCACUGUUGCUGAUAGCUCACUUUCUUUGACUUCAAGAAGAGUCUUGGAAAUGUGAAUUCUCUCAUGACAAUCCAUCUGAUGAGGCCGUUUCACUGGACAUCUUCUAACUGUCUGGAAGACUCAAUAUCACACUUAACCCUGGAUAUUUUUUAUUCUCUUACUAGUGAAUGAAGAAGUGUAACCAUCCAGGAUUAUUUUUUAAAAAAUAAAUCCAGAUAAGAAUAUCUGUCAUUGUGUAAUUCGGUAUGUGAUGGAGAACUCAGAAGCUUGCAGCUGCUUCAUCCAAAAUACACAUUCUGUAUCUGAAUUGAGGGGUGAAGAUAGCAAUAGUUCUGUUACUAAGCCCAAAGAAAUCUGUUGGAUGUUAUUAAUACUUAAUUAGAAUAAUCUACUGGGCAGAUUGGAAGGACAUGUCCAUUCUACAGGUGAAGCAAUUACCAUGUUACAUGUUUUGGGAAAGGACACUGUUGAAUUUAGUACUUAGGUGUCUAAGAAUGACCAACAGUUGGUGAAUCAUCUUCAGUAAAAGCCAAUGAUCACAUUGGGAAGUGUCCCACAGACACCAGAAGUAGUUCAUAAGACGUGACCCUCAAGCAGGAACUGAGGAGACCCAGGUCUCUUCAACUCCUAAUAUGAUAUAUCUCUAAUCACCGGCAUUGAAAAUUGUUUGAAGAAUUACAAUUUCAAGACGGUAAACUGAGUACCUCCUCAUAUAAGAAAUUCAUGAAACAACAAAAAGUACUGAAAACAAUAAAAAGUUAUCUUUGCAAUGAGAACUGUUAAGAGACUCUGGAAGUUUGAAAGCAUAUGUGCUCAUAUUUACGUGUAAAUCAAAAUAGAAAAUAGAGCAGACAGAGA
Molecule: long non-coding RNA, 1131 nt
Organism: Nycticebus coucang (slow loris)
Lineage: Eukaryota; Metazoa; Chordata; Mammalia; Primates; Lorisidae
Exons: 3
Source: RefSeq, a predicted model, not a curated record